AAGCAAUUCUUUGAUUGAUGGCUCCAACAUGGAUUAAGGUCAAAAGUGGCCCUGGAGACCAAAUUCCCUAGUGAGGAACUGCCACAUAACUUCAUGUGUCUUUUGCUUCUGAAUUAUUUCUUCUAGAAACCACCAACCACAAGCUGUCACGCUGGUAUUAUAUCUACAUAACGUUUAUUCUUCUUACAGCAAAGAGCUGGAGAAAUACAAGUGAGAACCUGUUAUUACAGGUUAAAUUGUGUAACACUCAACUUGCGCUGAGGUCCAGUUUCUUUUUAUUAUGCUCCAAUUUUGUUGAAUGACUAUUGCCUAAAAUAAAUGGGCAAUCGACAGGGGCUUAGAACUAACAGGGAUGCUUAAGUGACUUUUAUGGUAGCAGUAUUUGUUGUAACAGAAUUUGAUCUGUAUUCUAGUUAUUAGUUUUAUUCAUCACAUUGGAAAGUUGGCACCUCCACUGUUCAUGCCAUUAUAUGCAAAGCACUGUAGCAUGAAAGUCACUUACAAAGCUGUGAAAAAAACUCUCUGAACACCAGAGGCUCAUGAAACAAUAAAAGUCAGCUAGGGGGAUAUACACUGUUUGAUUUAGCUAAAUAUUCUGGAUGGUCAAAGGUUUAUUCCUUUUAAUUCCUAAAAGUUUUUUUUUUUAACCAUUGGGAUGUAAAUAUUUCUAAAAUGUUUGAUAUACAUAUUUUUGUCUUCUAAGCAUAGUUUUUUUAUGUAUGGUGCACAGGGUCAUCAUUUUAAAUAGAAUAUUGUCCCAUGAUACAGUGAGGCUCUUAAAGAUUGAGAUGUGUAUAGACUGUUUUUGACACUAAAUAACCCAUAUAUCAGGGCUUUGGAGCUUUGCAGUCUACUCAAAAUUUCCAUUUUCUCUAUUGCUGUCCUCCUUUUUCCUUCUUGUUUCCUCUAAAAGUCUGUUUCUUUCCUUUACAGUUAGAAAUAUGUGUGAAGGAAGAGCAAAUAGGUUCUGAGGAGGUGCCUGAUGACUAGAUGUAUGGCCUUUGUCUUAUGCGUUUGCUUCAUGGUAUUUAUUUCAAUUGGUUGGAAGCCUUGUUUGCUUACUUCUUAAUUCUCAGUCACUUUUGAUGGGUUCAGCAGAGGUUCUAGAUUUUUCUAGUUCUGUCUCAGUUACUCAUUGUCAAACCACUGGUUUAGAUUUUGUGUUCAGGAAAUAGGGAUAGGUAAAGCUAUCAGGUGGCUAAGCCCUAGGUAAAUGAGUUGCCAUGAAUCCUAAAAUAUUGUGAAGGUUGUGGGCCAUUUUUAUAAGGCAAAUGGUAUGCUGUGGCCGUGACAGCUGAACUCAGUAAGUGAACUUUAAAACAGAUAAGCUCCUUUUGCUGUUGUCCCUUUCCAAGAAUAUGAAGCUGGCCUGACGUCAAGAUUCUAACGCUAUAGCAAAAGAAGACAUGGUUUUGCCUCUCGUUGAUUUUCUUAUUUAUGGCCUUGGAAUAAAGAAGAUAAAGCAAGUCUAACAGUUCUCCCUUCCAAAAGUACAGUUUCAGGCCAGAAGAUUUGACUGCUACCCUUAGACUUUCUUUCCCUCACUGUACAUUGCAUUUUACAGGCUAUACAAAGCAAGACCUUCUUUGCAAAAGGCAAACUCCUUUGCCCCAAGGCCAUACUGUACAUGUGUGGGGGUAGUUGUAGGGGGAUCAGUGUUGUUAUUCACCAAUACAAGAUGGAAUCAGUGCAGCUAGGAGAGAAGAGAUUAAGGAAAGAGGCUGUGAAGUCUGCUAGACCUGGGUUUAAAUUCUGGCUUCCCGCUUAUUAGGGUGUAACCGUGGUCACAGUACUUAAUUCUCUAAAUUUGAUUCCUGAGCAACAAAGUGGGGAAUGAUAGUAUUGGUGCUGUUACUAUUAUGAUAAUGUGAAAAACAACAGGAGAGUACCUGGCCCAGAGAAAGAGCUAAGUGACAGCUCUUAUUAACAUAAAUGAAUGAUUUAAACCUGGAGAUUACAAUAGUUAACAAGCACAGACACUUAGUGCAGUCUGUUACUGACUUCAAGCAGUCUUUUGCUUUUGUUUCUAUUUCUGUGACAUCUUCUCUUAUUACGACUUUCUGUUGGGUGUCUCUAACUCUGGUGCCUUGUGAAGGCCAGGAGAUAUUCCAGACAAGCUGAAAUUCUACCUUUUUAUGAGUAUAAAGGAAAUGGGGCCAUGUUGGACCAAACAAAGAGUAAUAAAAUAAAAUAUAGAGUUGUAGCUUUCAGAGGGAAAGAUAAAACAAGAAAGGGCUGGGGCAAUGGAUGUGGUGUUGAGAUACUGGCACCAGGAAGCAGGGAAGAAAACCUCCAAACACAUUGUGGUUUGUUAAAACACUGAAGACUCCUAAGUGCUACAGUGGCAGGCAGUGCCACCCCACCAGGCAGCAGUGUCCUCCGCAACUGGGGAAGAGGAAGUAGGGCCUAAUGAUUGCUCUCGGAGACAGAGAGUCUGCUGUCCUGGGCUUUACCAGCCUGGCUUGUUGGGUGACCUUGAGUGACUUAUCUCCCUCUCUUGGACAAUUUUCUCAAGGUUCUCACACAGUCCCUAGCUAACUAAAAGGGUCUGAUGAAGAUAAAUGUGUUAAAAGAAAAUUUAGAGGAGAGUCCACAAACUGUCCCUCCAGAUACACCUGCUGGUGGGUUUUAGGAUUUUUAAACAUUAAAUUUUAAUGCAUUUAGGCAGGGCUUGGUAUUUUCUAAUUCACACAGUAUCUACCAUCUUGAGUCUUCACAUUUGGCUCCUGAAGGCCUCUGAGUAUAUGACUUCUGAUUUCAAUGCAACCUCUGGUCCUUCAAACCAGCUUGGAAUUGCUUCAUUUACAACUCAUUCUAUGUUUUCAUCAAUUACAUGCAAAUAUGUAUUUCUAAAGUUUCACAAAACAAAGAUUUUGUUGGCCUAACUGUAAUUUGCUCUAAAAGACAUUUUUUUUUCUAGAAAAUAUGGCAAAAAUUACAAUUUUACCUUCCUUCUAGUUCAUCCAAAUUCUAAAACUUUAAUGUUAUUUGAAAACAUAAUUUGGCACCAAGUAUUCUUUAGGUUAUAAUCUAAGUUGCUCAUAAAAUGUAAUCUAGGCCUGGAUCAUUUUACUUUGAGGAGAAAACUUAUCACUAAAUAAUAAUGAUCUUAAGUCUGUUCUUUUGCCACUUCCCAGAGCUCUCUCCUAAGGCACUGUGGAAAAGUCAGGAGUAAAUUAGACUCCCACAUCUAGUAACCAAAACACCAUCAUCUCCAGCAUUACCACAGUCAAGUAUGCAGCUCGUCAUAAAUAUUUACACCUUGCAGGGUCCUUUGUGCACAACUCUGAGAGACAAAUGGCAUUUCCAGUAAUAGUUUAUUGAUUUCCAAAUGCACAGGGGCACCAAGUCCGAACAUCCUGGGAUAGCAGUAAAUCUCUCUUACAAAAUAAUUUACAGUAUGAAAAUGAUAUACUGAAACAUUAACCCAAACGUGUAAUUCCCUUGAAAGAUUCAGUGUUCCCUUGUUUAAUGUAAAGGGUGGAAGGGGAAGAUUCCUAAGGAGGGAAUGUGACUGUGCACAGGAAAAUAGGCAGAGGACAAUGGAUUCAUUGGUUCUCCCCAUUCAUGCAGUGUGGCCUGUCACUGUAGAAAGACUGGUCAGGUUUAACCCUCAUUAAGUAUUAAUCUGCUGUCCCCUCAAAGUCAUAUCAAGCCCAGUAUGGGCUCCGUGGCUUUUUUUGCACCAAUGUAUCCAUAAGUGUCUCCACUUAUUUUCAUUUUUCUGCUCUGGCCCUCGUUCUGCUGUUUCUGGUAUGUUCUCAGUUCCAAAUUAUACUAUCUUAUCUUACCAGGCAGGCCUCCAGAAUCAAGAACUGCCUGAGUCUUAUUUGAAAGAUAGCCAGAAAUUGCUAUGAGUAUCCGACUGAUUCUGGAAACAUUCAUUACCUGCCUCCCUUGGUGACUUCUCUUUAGGGGUUUCAGCAAACCCUGCCACCUGCACCCAGGCAAGACCCAAUUCUGAGCUCUCUAACUUUUACUGACCUGGCAGGAGGGAAGCCUCAUCAUGCUGGGGCUUAAGGCCAAGCAGCAUGCUCCAGCUCUAGGGGAAGGUAGUGCCACUGCAGGAAGCAUCCUAGUUCUUACAUUGAUAAAUGCUGCCGGCAGGAACUUAGAAGCCUGGGCAAAAGCUGCUGCACUGUGUUUAAUGCUUCCCUGGUUAAAGUUUUAUCAGGUACUGAAGACAGCAGGAGUCUAUAAAGCAAAUCUGAAACGCUUUCUAAGUAAAAGCAAAAGUGCUUUCCUUGAGGAUCACAGAGAUAUGAUAAGUUACUGAGACAGGUUGGCAAAUAUUUUUAUAUUUCCAUUUAUAUCCACUGCAUAAAUGCUUGAAUUUCCCAAAUACUGAUUCAAAGUAGUAACAUAUGAUCAGAUAUGGAGAACCAAUGAUCUGUCUAUUGCUAAUAUAAGGCUACUAUUUGGAGAUCAAACAAUGAUUAUUGGGGAAAGACAAUACAAGCUUCCAAAUCCUAAAAUCUUUUUAAUCUUCUGAUACUUAAAUUUUUUCGAGAGUGGCCACUGGUCCUUCUUUUAGGGUACUUUUGUUGGAUAUGAUUGGUGGUUGUAAUUAAUGGUAUGCCAAAUUCUCCAGUCUUUGCAGAGAUAGGUAAAGCACCAAAAUUGUCCUAGCCAUUUCUUGGCCAUCAGUUUGAGAGAAAAAUGCUUUUUUUUUUUUUUUUUUAACACCUCAAACUCCCCUCAGCCCCAAUAUCCUGGCAUCUUUAGUGAGUCAGGACAAU
This 4739-nucleotide long non-coding RNA is filed under the name Homo sapiens (human). RNAcentral describes it as "HSALNT0174116". The record is from RNAcentral. Lineage: Eukaryota; Metazoa; Chordata; Mammalia; Primates; Hominidae.